Molecule: long non-coding RNA, 277 nt
Filed under: Setaria viridis
Lineage: Eukaryota; Viridiplantae; Streptophyta; Magnoliopsida; Poales; Poaceae
Description: long non-coding RNA (SVIR_LNC008205)
Source: RNAcentral
CGAGUACUUUUUAGUCAAAUGCAACAGCUUCGAGUACUUUUGUAGACUUCACCGACUAAUUUUGGUGCUCUUCGAGUACUUUAUCUGGUUAAAUCUUCAAAGGUACCCAAAAGUGCCAAGCGGCUAGAAUGUGCUUAAACUUUUUUUCACUUAGUCUUGUAUCCUUCAAACUUGAAUUUUAUAUGGAAGUGCGAUGAAAGUCGCACUCCAUAUGGAGUAGCCCCCGAGCUUUAGGUUGAAUCGAAGAAUCAAGCUAAGAGUCAAUCUGUAAUUUGCA